RNAcentral lists this ribosomal RNA (253 nucleotides) under uncultured bacterium. RNAcentral's name for it is "partial 16S ribosomal RNA". It matches the Rfam family "Bacterial small subunit ribosomal RNA", at positions 524 to 776 of the family's 1533-position model. The record is from RNAcentral.
UACGUAGGGUGCAAGCGUUGUCCGGAAUUAUUGGGCGUAAAGGGCGCGUAGGCGGCCUGUUAAGUCGAACGUGAAAUCCCCGGGCUCAACCCGGGAACUGCGUCCGAUACUGGCAGGCUUGAAUCCGGGAGAGGGAUGUGGAAUUCCAGGUGUAGCGGUGAAAUGCGUAGAUAUCUGGAGGAACACCGGUGGCGAAGGCGACAUCCUGGACCGGUAUUGACGCUGAGGCGCGAAAGCCAGGGGAGCAAACGGG